GUGGGUAGUUUGACUGGGGCGGUCUCCUCCUAAAGAGUAACGGAGGAGCACGAAGGUUGGCUAAUCCUGGUCGGACAUCAGGAGGUUAGUGCAAUGGCAUAAGCCAGCUUGACUGCGAGCGUGACGGCGCGAGCAGGUGCGAAAGCAGGUCAUAGUGAUCCGGUGGUUCUGAAUGGAAGGGCCAUCGCUCAACGGAUAAAAGGUACUCCGGGGAUAACAGGCUGAUACCGCCCAAGAGUUCAUAUCGACGGCGGUGUUUGGCACCUCGAUGUCGGCUCAUCACAUCCUGGGGCUGAAGUAGGUCCCAAGGGUAUGGCUGUUCGCCAUUUAAAGUGGUACGCGAGCUGGGUUUAGAACGUCGUGAGACAGUUCGGUCCCUAUCUGCCGUGGGCGCUGGAGAACUGAGGGGGGCUGCUCCUAGUACGAGAGGACCGGAGUGGACGCAUCACUGGUGUUCGGGUUGUCAUGCCAAUGGCACUGCCCGGUAGCUAAAUGCGGAAGAGAUAAGUGCUGAAAGCAUCUAAGCACGAAACUUGCCCCGAGAUGAGUUCUCCCUGACUCCUUGAGAGUCCUGAAGGAACGUUGAAGACGACGACGUUGAUAGGCCGGGUGUGUAAGCGCAGCGAUGCGUUGAGCUAACCGGUACUAAUGAACCGUGAGGCUUAACCUUACAACGCCG
RNAcentral lists this ribosomal RNA (679 nucleotides) under Escherichia coli. RNAcentral describes it as "partial 23S ribosomal RNA". It matches the Rfam family "Bacterial large subunit ribosomal RNA", at positions 2261 to 2925 of the family's 2925-position model. Lineage: Bacteria; Pseudomonadati; Pseudomonadota; Gammaproteobacteria; Enterobacterales; Enterobacteriaceae. The record is from RNAcentral.